Molecule: ribosomal RNA, 1546 nt
Filed under: Lactiplantibacillus plantarum
Lineage: Bacteria; Bacillati; Bacillota; Bacilli; Lactobacillales; Lactobacillaceae
Also listed under: 1 other name
Description: Lactobacillus plantarum 16S ribosomal RNA
Rfam family: Bacterial small subunit ribosomal RNA
Source: RNAcentral
AUUAAUUUGAGAGUUUGAUCCUGGCUCAGGACGAACGCUGGCGGCGUGCCUAAUACAUGCAAGUCGAACGAACUCUGGUAUUGAUUGGUGCUUGCAUCAUGAUUUACAUUUGAGUGAGUGGCGAACUGGUGAGUAACACGUGGGAAACCUGCCCAGAAGCGGGGGAUAACACCUGGAAACAGAUGCUAAUACCGCAUAACAACUUGGACCGCAUGGUCCGAGUUUGAAAGAUGGCUUCGGCUAUCACUUUUGGAUGGUCCCGCGGCGUAUUAGCUAGAUGGUGGGGUAACGGCUCACCAUGGCAAUGAUACGUAGCCGACCUGAGAGGGUAAUCGGCCACAUUGGGACUGAGACACGGCCCAAACUCCUACGGGAGGCAGCAGUAGGGAAUCUUCCACAAUGGACGAAAGUCUGAUGGAGCAACGCCGCGUGAGUGAAGAAGGGUUUCGGCUCGUAAAACUCUGUUGUUAAAGAAGAACAUAUCUGAGAGUAACUGUUCAGGUAUUGACGGUAUUUAACCAGAAAGCCACGGCUAACUACGUGCCAGCAGCCGCGGUAAUACGUAGGUGGCAAGCGUUGUCCGGAUUUAUUGGGCGUAAAGCGAGCGCAGGCGGUUUUUUAAGUCUGAUGUGAAAGCCUUCGGCUCAACCGAAGAAGUGCAUCGGAAACUGGGAAACUUGAGUGCAGAAGAGGACAGUGGAACUCCAUGUGUAGCGGUGAAAUGCGUAGAUAUAUGGAAGAACACCAGUGGCGAAGGCGGCUGUCUGGUCUGUAACUGACGCUGAGGCUCGAAAGUAUGGGUAGCAAACAGGAUUAGAUACCCUGGUAGUCCAUACCGUAAACGAUGAAUGCUAAGUGUUGGAGGGUUUCCGCCCUUCAGUGCUGCAGCUAACGCAUUAAGCAUUCCGCCUGGGGAGUACGGCCGCAAGGCUGAAACUCAAAGGAAUUGACGGGGGCCCGCACAAGCGGUGGAGCAUGUGGUUUAAUUCGAAGCUACGCGAAGAACCUUACCAGGUCUUGACAUACUAUGCAAAUCUAAGAGAUUAGACGUUCCCUUCGGGGACAUGGAUACAGGUGGUGCAUGGUUGUCGUCAGCUCGUGUCGUGAGAUGUUGGGUUAAGUCCCGCAACGAGCGCAACCCUUAUUAUCAGUUGCCAGCAUUAAGUUGGGCACUCUGGUGAGACUGCCGGUGACAAACCGGAGGAAGGUGGGGAUGACGUCAAAUCAUCAUGCCCCUUAUGACCUGGGCUACACACGUGCUACAAUGGAUGGUACAACGAGUUGCGAACUCGCGAGAGUAAGCUAAUCUCUUAAAGCCAUUCUCAGUUCGGAUUGUAGGCUGCAACUCGCCUACAUGAAGUCGGAAUCGCUAGUAAUCGCGGAUCAGCAUGCCGCGGUGAAUACGUUCCCGGGCCUUGUACACACCGCCCGUCACACCAUGAGAGUUUGUAACACCCAAAGUCGGUGGGGUAACCUUUUAGGAACCAGCCGCCUAAGGUGGGACAGAUGAUUAGGGUGAAGUCGUAACAAGGUAGCCGUAGGAGAA